RNAcentral lists this ribosomal RNA (330 nucleotides) under uncultured bacterium. Its description in RNAcentral is "bacterial SSU rRNA". It matches the Rfam family "Bacterial small subunit ribosomal RNA", at positions 568 to 898 of the family's 1533-position model. The record is from RNAcentral.
UUCGUAGGCGGUGUGGCAAGUCGGGAGUGAAAUCUCUGGGCUUAACUCAGAGGCUGCUUCCGAAACUGCCGUGCUAGAGUGCGGGAGAGGCGAGUGGAAUUGCAGGUGUAGCGGUGAAAUGCGUAGAUAUCUGCAGGAACACCCGUGGCGAAGGCGGCUCGCUGGACCGCAACUGACGCUGAGGAACGAAAGCUAGGGGAGCAAACAGGAUUAGAUACCCUGGUAGUCCUAGCCCUAAACCAUCAGGACUUGGGGUGCAUCCCGUUCGGGGUGCGUCCCGGAGCUAACGCGUUAAGUCCUGCGCCUGGGGAGUACGGUCGCAAGGCUGAA